UACGGGGGGGGCAAGCGUUGUUCGGAAUUACUGGGCGUAAAGGGCGCGUAGGCGGUCAGACCAAGUCGAGUGUGAAAUUCCAGGGCUUAACUCUGGCACGCUCGCUCGAUACUGGUCGGCUAGAGUGUGGAAGAGGAUGCUGGAAUUCCCAGUGUAGCGGUGAAAUGCGUAGAUAUCUGGAGGAACACCGGUGGCGAAGGCGGCAUCCUGGACCAACACUGACGCUGAGUGAGCGAAAGCCAGGGGAGCAAACGGG
Molecule: ribosomal RNA, 256 nt
Filed under: uncultured bacterium
Lineage: Bacteria
Description: partial 16S ribosomal RNA
Rfam family: Bacterial small subunit ribosomal RNA
Source: RNAcentral